Molecule: ribosomal RNA, 383 nt
Filed under: uncultured bacterium
Lineage: Bacteria
Description: bacterial SSU rRNA
Rfam family: Bacterial small subunit ribosomal RNA
Source: RNAcentral
GACGAACGCUGGCGGCGUGCUUAACACAUGCAAGUCGAGCGGUAAGGCCCUUUCGGGGGUACGACGAGCGGCGAACGGGUGAGUAACACGUGGGUGACCUGCCCUCAGCUCUGGGAUAAGCCUGGGAAACCGGGUCUAAUACUGGAUAUGACUCCAUGACGCAUGUUGUGGGGUGGAAAGCCUUGUGCGGCUGAGGAUGGGCCCGCGGCCUAUCAGCUUGUUGGUGGGGUGAGGCCUACCAAGGCGACGACGGGUAGCCGGCCUGAGAGGGCGACCGGCCACACUGGGACUGAGACACGGCCCAGACUCCUACGGGAGGCAGCAGUGGGGAAUAUUGGACAAUGGGCGCAAGCCUGAUCCAGCCAUGCCGCGUGAGUGAUGAA